AUUCUCUAAAACUUACAGGAGGGGGUUGUGAGGACAGUGCUGCAUUAGCAGAAAAACAACUCCAUAAAAGGAAAGCGGCCUUGGGUGUUCUAGUCUCUUCGCUUGCAGAUAUCUUGCACCUGCAGAAUGAGGCGAUCGCUUCUUAUCGCUCUCAAGGCCAAAGUCGUGAGCACAUAUUUUUAUUACACAGUUGCACAGUAACUUUAAAGCUGAACAAUAUUUAAAGCUGAAUAAUGUUUGAUCAGAUUAUAUUUUCUUCAAAUCCCCCUUUUGACCCAUCUUAAAUGGGUCAACACACAAAAAUAAGUAACAUUCAAAGGAACACAGAGACGUGUCGAAGCCUGGCUCGAAAAACUCCUCGGGUCUUUUCAUUUGUCUUUAUCUGUCAUUGCAGAUGAGGAGAAAAGAGUCCAGGCACCACCCUGCCCAGGGGUCGGCUGCAAGCAGUCUCGGUUCCCGACGAAAGCAGUAACAGCUGUCCUGCACACAAGGGUACAACGAGUUAGUGCAACCAGGUGAUUUACCAGGAACAUCUUUUCCUUUUCUCCAUGUCUUCCGCCAGAGGUUAACACUGGUGAGAUUCAGGGACACAGCACCCAGAGCAGGCUGGUGUGUGGAGUUGAUGACUGUCUCAACACAUGUUAAUUGUUCUCCCAAUGUGCUAAGCAUAACACCGGGACCCCAACCAUCAUCAUUAGUUUCUCGAUCUAAUUCUCCAUCCAUUUUACUGUCAAUGGAGGAGUGUUCUUUUAUUGCUUUUAAAGGAGAAUUUGGGCCAGCUGGGUUUCUGCCUCUGUUAGGCACUAAUCAGCUGGGGCGCUGCUUUAAAGGUGAGUCAGCACUGAAAUAUCCCUUCAGGUGUUACCAAGCUUCUACCAAACCGGAGUCUGGCGGGUAACCUUGCCUAGAGCUUCCUGAUAGGGGUGCUAGUUGGUUGUCACCUUGUUCACACGUCUCAUUCACACUUCAUACAUUACCUGCAGUCACUCAUUACCCUCCUUAUGUAUGUAAUAAAUGUGUAAAAAAAAAAUUCUAUGUGUGGUGUAUUAUUUUAACCAAAAGAGGAACCUAGUUCCUUUAAUUGUGUAAUCUGUGAACAACGGAGAACCAAACUGUCCUGCCCAGUGUUCCACAGCAAGCAUUCAGCGUGUAUUUAUGUGUG
This is a long non-coding RNA of Astatotilapia calliptera (eastern happy), 1162 nucleotides long. The record is from Ensembl. NCBI's taxonomy places the organism in Eukaryota, Metazoa, Chordata, Actinopteri, Cichliformes, Cichlidae.